Molecule: ribosomal RNA, 566 nt
Filed under: uncultured bacterium
Lineage: Bacteria
Description: partial 16S ribosomal RNA
Rfam family: Bacterial small subunit ribosomal RNA
Source: RNAcentral
UGGGGAAUUUUGGACAAUGGGCGAAAGCCUGAUCCAGCAAUGCCGCGUGUGUGAAGAGGGCCUUCGGGUUGUAAAGCACUUUUGUCCGGAAAGAAAUCCUUGGCUCUAAUACAGUCGGGGGAUGACGGUACCGGAAGAAUAAGCACCGGCUAACUACGUGCCAGCAGCCGCGGUAAUACGUAGGGUGCAAGCGUUAAUCGGAAUUACUGGGCGUAAAGCGUGCGCAGGCGGUUUGCUAAGACCGAUGUGAAAUCCCCGGGCUCAACCUGGGAACUGCAUUGGUGACUGGCAGGCUAGAGUAUGGCAGAGGGGGGUAGAAUUCCACGUGUAGCGGUGAAAUGCGUAGAGAUCUGGAGGAAUACCGGUGGCGAAGGCGGCCCCCUGGACGAAGACUGACGCUCAGGUGCGAAAGCGUGGGGAGCAAACAGGAUUAGAUACCCUGGUAGUCCACGCCCUAAACGAUGUCAACUAGUUGUUGGGGAUUCAUUUCCUUAGUAACGUAGCUAACGCGUGAAGUUGACCGCCUGGGGAGUACGGUCGCAAGAUUAAAACUUAAAGGAAUUGAC